RNAcentral lists this long non-coding RNA (268 nucleotides) under Olea europaea (common olive). Its description in RNAcentral is "long non-coding RNA (OEUR_LNC013499)". Lineage: Eukaryota; Viridiplantae; Streptophyta; Magnoliopsida; Lamiales; Oleaceae. The record is from RNAcentral.
AUAUAGUUGGGAUUCAAUAUUGUCAAUUGCUAAUAUAAACAUUGAAUUCUACCAACGAAGUGGCUUUCAGGAAUCCAUUUAUCUGGAAUCCAUCAAUAACUACCAAUAAAGUAUAAAAUAAUUAUCUAAGUAAAUGCAUAGUCUCCCUGUAAUCAAAAUACUAAAAACCAAAAUAUAAUCCAAAGAUAAAUUGCAUUUCAUAAAUUCUGCAAUCACGCUUAAACCAAAACCAUAUUAAACAGAAAAAGUUCAAAAGCCCUAAAAAAAA